GUCUAUGGCCAUGCCACCCUGAACAAGCCUGAUCCCAUCUGAUCUCAGAAGCUAAGCAAGGUCGGGCCUGGUUAGUACUUGGAUGGGAGACCACCUAGGAAGACCAGGUGCUGUAGGCA
RNAcentral lists this ribosomal RNA (119 nucleotides) under Pteropus alecto (black flying fox). Lineage: Eukaryota; Metazoa; Chordata; Mammalia; Chiroptera; Pteropodidae. The record is from RNAcentral.